UCGAGGAUCUUCCGCAAUGGGCGAAAGCCUGACGGAGCGACACCGCGUGCAGGAUGAAGGCCUUCGGGUUGUAAACUGCUUUAGCGCCAUAGGAACUCCGCAAGGAUUGACUAAAGCGUAAAUAAGCAACGGCUAACUCUGUGCCAGCAGCCGCGGUAAGACAGAGGUUGCAAACGUUGUUCGGAAUCACUGGGCAUAAAGCGCACGUAGGCGGCUAGCUAAGUCAGGUGUGAAAUCCCCGGCUCAACCGGGGAACUGCGCCUGAUACUGGCCGGCUUGAGGACGGUAGGGGUGAGUGGAACUCCAGGUGGAGCGGUGAAAUGCGUAGAUAUCUGGAGGAACACCGAUGGCGAAGGCAGCCCCCUGGGAUAACACUGACGCUCAUGCACGAAAGCGUGGGGAGCAAACAGGAUUAGAUACCCUCGUAGUCCCUGAGCGGGCUGGCAAGGCGCAU
RNAcentral lists this ribosomal RNA (454 nucleotides) under uncultured bacterium. RNAcentral's name for it is "bacterial SSU rRNA". It matches the Rfam family "Bacterial small subunit ribosomal RNA", at positions 355 to 825 of the family's 1533-position model. The record is from RNAcentral.